RNAcentral lists this ribosomal RNA (253 nucleotides) under uncultured bacterium. Its description in RNAcentral is "partial 16S ribosomal RNA". It matches the Rfam family "Bacterial small subunit ribosomal RNA", at positions 524 to 776 of the family's 1533-position model. The record is from RNAcentral.
UACGAAGGGGGCGAGCGUUGUUCGGAUUUAUUGGGCGUAAAGGGCGCGCAAGCGGCGAGUUUUGUCAGGCGUGAAAGCCCCGGGCUCAACCUAGGAACUGCGCUUGGAACGGGCUUGCUAGAGAUCGGGAGAGGAGAGUGGAAUUCCCAGUGUAGAGGUGAAAUUCGUAGAUAUUGGGAAGAACACCAGUGGCGAAGGCGGCUCUCUGGACCGACACUGACGCUGAGGCGCGAAAGCGUGGGGAGCAAACAGG